ACUGAUUCGAGGCAGGUUAUGGGGUUGGUACCAUCUGUCGAGGGUAGUAGUGAUGGUUUAAAGGAAGGGAAUGUAUGUCAGGCCUGUAGACCAGGCCACCUUCAAUCGGGUGGUUAAUAAAUAAUGGUCCUUAUUCUAAUGUGGUAAGUGAUAUGGUGAAAUGAGGACAAAGUGGUAAGGAUACAGAGGUCUGUGAAAGAGGGGAAAGUAUUUGUGCGGAAGGGGAACGACCAGAGGGAAAGGAUUGCAAGGAGGAAGUUCUGUGUCCAUUCAGUCCAUGAGUGAUGAGGGGCUGGGAGAGGGAGGGAUAGUAGAGGCUCUGGAUCCCAGAGCAGGACCUUACUGUUUCCAGAAUUUUUUCUGGGUAUUCACAUGAUGUGCUCUUGGUUGUAAAUUUUUUUUUAAUUGCAUUUAUUUUUGUGAAAUUUAUUCCUGGGUCAUAAGUUUUUGCUUCUGCAGUUUCCUCUGGGAUAUCUUUUUCUUCUGUGCAACCUCAUCUUCUGGCUUAGGAACAAUCUGCUCUUUUUCAGUACGUCGCAUCUUGGGGGCUUUGUUCACCUGGAUGUGCUCAAUGACCAGAGAAUCUACAUCUAAGCCCUUAAGUUCAGCAUUACUCUCUGCAUUUUUAAGCAUAUGCAAUAAAAAGUCAGCACUCUUUUUGGGCCACCGACCCUGUGUCCAGCCCCACUGUUUGGCCUGGGCACACCUACCAACUCCUCCACUGUAACGACAGAAUGGCACACAUUGCUUCUGUAGAGUGACAUCUUUCAGAUGCUCGGUGGCUUUUCAAAUAUGCAUACCCUUAAUGGCUUGGGCAGUUUUACGAGUGUUCUUAAAGUGAACAUGAACAGUUGAACCUCUUGAUUUGCAUGAUUUUGUGGGGUUUUCUGGGUCAAGUGAAUAGCAGACCAUUUUUAGAGGUCACCUCAGGCUGCUUCCCGGAAAAGCGGUUGUAAGAUUUAAAAUUGUAGAAAGUGCACUGAGUUUUCAUUCUUCCCCUCCUCCUCCUCACCCCUUUCCCAGCCUA
RNAcentral lists this long non-coding RNA (1027 nucleotides) under Sus scrofa (pig). RNAcentral describes it as "lncRNA (ENSSSCG00070017865.1)". Lineage: Eukaryota; Metazoa; Chordata; Mammalia; Artiodactyla; Suidae. The record is from RNAcentral.